AUGGAUGCAUUUAACAUUUAAUUAUACAGCAUCUUUGCAGAGGAUGCUUUCAUGGUCUAAAAAAAGAAGGAAAAGUUAUGUAUAAGUUAAAGUAUAUAGUAAUGUAUAAGUUCAAUGUAAUGAAAUAAUAUUUCCUUUCUUUCUGUCUUACAGGAUUGUUUGCAGAUAAUGCUGUUCUUCUUUUUUCAGAAGUUUUUGAAAAGAAGGAAGGCCAAGGAAAUGAUUUGCUCAGGAUGAGGAAUGAAGAUGGCCAUCUUGUGCUCAAACAACCAGAAGUCCACUGGUCU
RNAcentral lists this long non-coding RNA (287 nucleotides) under Carassius auratus (goldfish). RNAcentral describes it as "lncRNA (ENSCARG00000019676.1)". Lineage: Eukaryota; Metazoa; Chordata; Actinopteri; Cypriniformes; Cyprinidae. The record is from RNAcentral.